Molecule: non-coding RNA, 289 nt
Organism: Macaca mulatta (Rhesus monkey)
Lineage: Eukaryota; Metazoa; Chordata; Mammalia; Primates; Cercopithecidae
Source: RefSeq, a predicted model, not a curated record
UGGAUCUGAUUCGUGAAUACUGUCACCAUGUACCAAAGCUCUUAUAUCCUGGUCGAGUUGGAAGAGGGAAGCUCGAGUCCCAGUUACUUCAUGCAAUGGUGUUCUGUGUAUCAGGAAGUCCACUGGCCUGUGAAGACAAACAGGUGAUCCUCUCUGAGCACAGGACAGAGUGAAAAAUGAUAGACUAGAUCUCUGGAGGCAAACCAAAUAAUCAGCACACCCAGUCAGAGAUCCUGCUGUGAGCCUAUUUUUGGCCUAUGUUCAACUAUAAAGAGGAGGACUGACUCUA